This 208-nucleotide long non-coding RNA is filed under the name Mytilus galloprovincialis (Mediterranean mussel). The record is from RNAcentral. Lineage: Eukaryota; Metazoa; Mollusca; Bivalvia; Mytilida; Mytilidae.
CUAUUGCAGUUUGCACAUUUCGGAAUUGACAGGCCACAGGAGGGGUCAUAAACCGUACACGAAAAGAUAAAAUAUUGAUAUAAGUACUUAAUUUGCAUCUUUGAACCCCCACCCCGGCUUGUUUUUUUAGGAGCCUGGGGUGUCUAAAAAUGGUCGAUUACAGACAGCCGAGUACGCAUUUUACUUUCCAGGCGUGUUAUUGUUGAUU